AGUAGGGGAUGUAUAUCUAUAGAUCUAUAGAAAUCUUAAAAAUCUGAUGUAUAAUCUAAGGCAAUUAUACAUGUGCUGGAAUAACCAUCCUUAAUGUUUACAAUAAACCUCCGGAAUCUUCCACUCUAAACUCUAAUUAACCUCUGGUUAUGUAAUCAAUGAAUGGAAAUAGGAUCAGUUUGGCACUACCCAUCCUUUCCCUGACUUGAGUUUUCGAAGCUGCGUGGACGUGUUUACAGCUAGAUUUAAAUAAAUUUGUAUUAGACUGCAAUUUCUCAACACUGAAAAAUGUAAGUAGAUCUAGAGUUUUUUACUUUAAUCUUUUAAAAAAAAACCCUUCUCAUAUAGUAAUGUAUUUAAACCUGCAUUUAAAACCUGUUAUACUAUCCACGUGACCAGGUCAUGUGAUUAAUACAAAAUGGCGGAUUGGUAAAGAUGUUUUCAGGUAAACAAGCCAGAAUGAAUUUGAUUUUUGUAAUGAAAUUAAAACCAUUUAAUUAUAUCAAUGUUUAUCAGCUUAAAAUAUGAUAUGUGCAUAGUUUUACAUCUGAAUUUAUUGUGAUAACUGCAAAAAAGUUGCAAGUUAGUACAAACUGACAAGCUACAAUUAGCACUGCAGUAUUAAGCUCAUACAAUCUGCUCUGAGUAUAAAUAGGUAAUUAUGAUUGAUUAUGAAUUAUUUGCAAAUUUCUGCUUUGUUACUAGACUUUUUAACAGUUACACUACUCAUUUUAGUAGAGUGUAUACGAAACUUUGUGUAAAUUUAAUUUGAAGUGUAACUUCGCAUUAAACACAAAUUACUUUACCCGACUGCAAAAAUUGUUUUUAUUUCAUUUCAGACAGCAAAUUUAUGUCUAAUUGGAGGAGAUAGUGUGGAGAGCAAUGUUCGCUGUGUUAUGUCUCACACUUUGUCUCAGGAAGUUGCCCUAGAAUACAACUGGGUUGGAAAAGGCUCGAAAAAACCAUUCGAAAAACUUAGACUUAAAAAAGUCAUAUUAGAUGCUGUAAGAGGAAGUAGACAGGGGUCUAUGAGAAGAGGCAAUGAAGGAGUCGCUAAGAUAUGCCAAGGAUAGGGAAGGCGGGCGGAGGAAGAGAUUGACUAAAAAGUUGCAACAACAAAGAUAAGAAAAUGAAAAUGAUAUGUGAACAACAUUUAGUAAUAAAUUGUAGUAAUUAG
Molecule: long non-coding RNA, 1177 nt
Organism: Ruditapes philippinarum (Manila clam)
Lineage: Eukaryota; Metazoa; Mollusca; Bivalvia; Venerida; Veneridae
Exons: 2
Source: RefSeq, a predicted model, not a curated record